GGCUUAACACAUGCAAGUCGAGGGGCAGCAUGGUCUUAGCUUGCUAAGGCCGAUGGCGACCGGCGCACGGGUGAGUAACACGUAUCCAACCUGCCGUCUACUCUUGGACAGCCUUCUGAAAGGAAGAUUAAUACAAGAUGGCAUCAUGAGUCCACAUGUUCACAUGAUUAAAGGUAUUCCGGUAGACGAUGGGGAUGCGUUCCAUUAGAUAGUAGGCGGGGUAACGGCCCACCUAGUCUUCGAUGGAUAGGGGUUCUGAGAGGAAGGUCCCCCACAUUGGAACUGAGACACGGUCCAAACUCCUACGGGAGGCAGCAGUGAGGAAUAUUGGUCAAUGGGCGAGAGCCUGAACCAGCCAAGUAGCGUGAAGGAUGACUGCCCUAUGGGUUGUAAACUUCUUUUAUAAAGGAAUAAAGUCGGGUAUGGAUACCCGUUUGCAUGUACUUUAUGAAUAAGGAUCGGCUAACUCCGUGCCAGCAGCCGCGGUAAUACGGAGGAUCCGAGCGUUAUCCGGAUUUAUUGGGUUUAAAGGGAGCGUAGAUGGAUGUUUAAGUCAGUUGUGAAAGUUUGCGGCUCAACCGUAAAAUUGCAGUUGAUACUGGAUAUCUUGAGUGCAGUUGAGGCAGGCGGAAUUCGUGGUGUAGCGGUGAAAUGCUUAGAUAUCACGAAGAACUCCGAUUGCGAAGGCAGCCUGCUAAGCUGCAACUGACAUUGAGGCUCGAAAGUGUGGGUAUCAAACAGGAUUAGAUACCCUGGUAGUCCACACGGUAAACGAUGAAUACUCGCUGUUUGCGAUAUACAGCAAGCGGCCAAGCGAAAGCGUUAAGUAUUCCACCUGGGGAGUACGCCGGCAACGGUGAAACUCAAAGGAAUUGACGGGGGCCCGCACAAGCGGAGGAACAUGUGGUUUAAUUCGAUGAUACGCGAGGAACCUUACCCGGGCUUAAAUUGCAGAUGAAUUACGGUGAAAGCCGUAAGCCGCAAGGCAUCUGUGAAGGUGCUGCAUGGUUGUCGUCAGCUCGUGCCGUGAGGUGUCGGCUUAAGUGCCAUAACGAGCGCAACCCUUGUUGUCAGUUACUAACAGGUUCCGCUGAGGACUCUGACAAGACUGCCAUCGUAAGAUGUGAGGAAGGUGGGGAUGACGUCAAAUCAGCACGGCCCUUACGUCCGGGGCUACACACGUGUUACAAUGGGGGGUACAGAGGGCCGCUACCACGCGAGUGGAUGCCAAUCCCAAAAACCUCUCUCAGUUCGGACUGGAGUCUGCAACCCGACUCCACGAAGCUGGAUUCGCUAGUAAUCGCGCAUCAGCCACGGCGCGGUGAAUACGUUCCCGGGCCUUGUACACACCGCCCGUCAAGCCAUGGGAGCCGGGGGUACCUGAAGUGCGUAACCGCGAGGAGCGCCCUAGGGUAAAACUGGUGACUGGGGCUAAGUAG
Molecule: ribosomal RNA, 1439 nt
Filed under: uncultured organism
Description: SSU rRNA
Rfam family: Bacterial small subunit ribosomal RNA
Source: RNAcentral